Molecule: small RNA, 126 nt
Filed under: Salmonella enterica subsp. enterica serovar Infantis
Lineage: Bacteria; Pseudomonadati; Pseudomonadota; Gammaproteobacteria; Enterobacterales; Enterobacteriaceae
Also listed under: 2 other names
Description: RtT sRNA
Rfam family: RtT RNA
About the family: This family represents a bacterial cis-regulatory element known as RtT RNA.
Source: RNAcentral
UUGCUAUCUGAGAUAUGGAAGAUUCGAACCUGCCGCAGGUUCGGGUCUCACGUAGUGAGACAACGGAGCCGCUUGCGGCGACGGCCCGAAGGGCGAGCAAAGCGAGUCAUCCUGCACGACCCACCA